UAGGGAAUCUUCCACAAUGGACGCAAGUCUGAUGGAGCAACGCCGCGUGAGUGAAAAAGGUUUUCGGAUCGUAAAGCUCUGUUGUUGGUGAAGAAGGAUAGAGGCAGUAACUGGUCUUUAUUUGACGGUAAUCAACCAGAAAGUCACGGCUAACUACGUGCCAGCAGCCGCGGUAAUACGUAGGUGGCAAGCGUUGUCCGGAUUUAUUGGGCGUAAAGCGAGCGCAGGCGGAAUGAUAAGUCUGAUGUGAAAGCCCACGGCUCAACCGUGGAACUGCAUCGGAAACUGUCAUUCUUGAGUGCAGAAGAGGAGAGUGGAAUUCCAUGUGUAGCGGUGGAAUGCGUAGAUAUAUGGAAGAACACCAGUGGCGAAGGCGGCUCUCUGGUCUGCAACUGACGCUGAGGCUCGAAAGCAUGGGUAGCGAACAGG
RNAcentral lists this ribosomal RNA (429 nucleotides) under bacterium. RNAcentral's name for it is "partial 16S ribosomal RNA". It matches the Rfam family "Bacterial small subunit ribosomal RNA", at positions 355 to 776 of the family's 1533-position model. The record is from RNAcentral.